This 339-nucleotide ribosomal RNA is filed under the name Anthomyza socculata. RNAcentral's name for it is "partial 12S ribosomal RNA". The record is from RNAcentral. Lineage: Eukaryota; Metazoa; Arthropoda; Insecta; Diptera; Anthomyzidae.
UUUAUUAAGGUAGUAAUAGUUAUGUUCUUGAAACUUAAAAAAUUUGGCGGUAUUUUAGUCUAUUCAGAGGAACCUGUUCUGUAAUCGAUAAUCCACGUUGGACCUUACUUAAAUUUGUUUUUCAAUUUAUAUACCGUUGUUAUUAAAAUAUUUUUUAAAAAUAAUAAUAUUUAAUAAUUUUAAUAAAAAUUUAUAUCAAAUCAAGGUGUAGUUUAUAUUUAAGUAGAAAUGGGUUACAAUAAAUAUAUUUUUGGAUAUAAAGAUGAAAUUUUUUAUUGAAAUUGGAUUUGAUAGUAAAAUUAUAAAGAUUAAUAAUUUGAUUUUAGCUCUAAAAUAUGU